UGGAUUUCAAAGAAUUAAGCAAGUAAAGGUAAAAUUUAUUGAUUUUAGCUUGUGAUCUACCUUUCCUAUGCAUUCUUUUUCAUUUUCCAUGAUUGAGAAACAAGUUUGCAUGAAGAUACCUUUGCUGGCCGGACAUGGGGGGAGGGGUUUUGAUCUUGGAUUUAGCUAGAUUUCAUGUUAUUCUAGUGUUUUUAGUUGGUAGGUGAUGUGUAGCAUAAAAAGCAAACAAGAAAAUUCAUGUUCUUCCAUCACCCUCAUUGGCUGAAUCUUCCUCAUGGUAUGUUGAUGGUGGAUUUGAUUUUAUUUUAAGUGAUUUGGUUAGGAAUUAAUGAUUUAUAGUGUAAAAAUCAAGCAUGAAAAAUCAUAGUGUUUAUGCACCCACCAUGGCCGAAUUUUCCAAGAGAAAAUGUUGAGGAUGAUUUUGCGAUAAUUUGUUAUCUAGCUUAUAUUUGAUGAUUUGGAGUAUUGGAAGUGAAAUGAAUUUAUUUGGAGUUGAAUUGGAUAUUUUGGCCAAUUAACUUGUGUAUAGUGUGAAUUAGGUUAAUACCAUUUCAGCCCCACACACAAUUGAACCUACGUAGAACACCGUAUUUAGAUAAUAAUCCAAGCAUUUCACAUCCCAUUUCAUGCAUGCAUAUAGAGCCUGAAAUAGAUUUAUAAUGACAUGACACAAUAUAUUGAAUUAUUUGUCAUGUAUUGUGUAUAGGUGGUGAGUCUUCUAACAAGGAUAAAGACAUUGUGCCAGAGGACCAAGAAUAGGAGUAUUUCGAACUCCCGAUAUUGUGAGCAAUCUUAUUAUCGUCUUAAUUAUCUAAAGUAGUUUUUAUUUGUUUUUGUGAUUUUAUAGAAAAAUGAGUUUAAAUGAUUAAAUGAAAUGAGUUUUAUAAAUCAUUUUGAAAUUGAAUGAUGAUUUUAGAAAUUGAGUAAUUGGAGACUGUUUGAUUGUGUUGUAAAUUUAUUGUUUGAAUUGAAUGGCUUAUGGUGAUAUUGGCAUGAAUGGCUGAAUUGAAAAUUGUAUUAAAAUUGUAUGAACUGUUUGUUUUGCCUUAACAGGCUGGGUAGUAAUAUAAUUGCCAUGUUAUGUUGUCGAACUUUUAUUGAUUUGGUGGGAUAUUGAUUAGUCAUUGCAGUGGUGGGUUUUCGUGGACUAGCCUAUUAGAGAGGGGCACGGUAAACUCGAUUAUAUUUGACCUUGGUACGAGAGGCGCGGAGGGUAUCUCCUGAGGUAAAACUUUAGAGUUCACUACACGCUAAACCACCACGUAAGGGUGAACUCAGCCAACGCCAAGGAACGAUUGUGCUUUUAAACGUAAAAAUGUGUUUUAUGCGUAUAUGAACUUUUCUUUAACAGCCUUAGCAUACUCGGUUGGAUGCCCCUGCGCAAGGUGUCAUCGAGCACAAGUUUUGGCACGAGUCAAAGUUUUAAGAGAGUCAUAAGCCAUGUUGAUUAUUUGAGUGAAAUGAAUUUAUUUUGUUUAGUUGAAAUGAGUUUGAAACGUUAUGAAUCAUAGUACGGUGAACUAUUUUAUGUUGUCUCAAUUUACUCGACUUUGGAUAUUUUAGAUGAUAUUUGUUUAUUCACUGAGUUUAUAUAAACUCACCACCCUCUUUUUCACCCAUUUCAAGCUCAGGAUAGUCUGUAGAUAGCUGAUUUCGUUGAGGGCUACAGUUGGAUUUGCAUCCUUAAAAAUCAUAAGUUCGCAACCUUCGUUACUUUUGAUCAUUUGGGAGCCCACAUGUCAUUAUAAAUUAAAUUAUACACUCUAACUCACUGUGUUACUGUAUGUAUGAAUUUAUUUUAUUUUUACGCUAUAAAAAUUAUUUGCGGAUACCUGUAUAAAUAUUGUUUUAUAAGAAAAUGAAAUAUUUUAUUUAAUAUUUUUAUUUUAUUCUAAUAGCUAUCAUUUCACUUUAAAUAAAUGUUUUAGACAUCUAAACUUAUUUUUGGCUAUUAAAUAUGUAUCUUUCACUCAUAUACUACAUUUUUAGAUGGUUUUGAAAUUUUUGGAGUAAAAUGACCAAAAUACCCUUGUGAGACGAAAAUUAUUUUUUUAUUGUUUUAGUUUGGAAAUAGCUUAUAAUCUUUUAAAAUAUGAUAUUAGCAACUGUUGCUCGCAGGGGAGGUGAGAAAACUGAUAUUAAACCUUGUGGGGUUUCGGUGGGUAUUCGGGUAAUGAAUGUCUAUCAGGACAUCGCGGUGGUUGUCACGGGCUCGAGGAGAGUACUGGGUCAUGACAUUAUAUUCUUAAUAGAGUCUCAAUAAGACCCUUGAUUUCGAAGACUCCAUAUGAACUUUAUAAAGGUAGGAAACCAAAUAUUUCUCACUUUAGGAGCUUUGGUUGUAAAAGCUUUGUAUUGAACAAUGGAAAACAGCCCCUAGGGAGUUUGAUGCAAAGAGUGAUGAAGCAAUAUUUUUAGGAUAUGCUUUAAACUCAAAGGCCUAUAGAGUUUUUAACAAAAAGACCUUGACUGUUGAAGAAUCAAUUCAUGUAGUUUUUGAUGAGUCAAAUGCAUUGCAAAAAGAAGUUCAUGAUGAUGAUGAUGAUGUAGAAGUCCUAGAAAAACAAAUGGAGGAAAUGAGCUUAGAAAACAACAAAAAUAAUGAAGAAAGCUCACCUAGAAGAGAAGAUGAAACUCCACUUUUGAAAAAUCUGUAAAGAGCAGAAAAUCAGCAUGAUGAUCUACCAAGGAGUUGGAGAUUUGUGAGAGAUCACCCACAAGACCAAAUAAUUGGUGAGAUUUCUCAAGGAGUUAAAAUUAGGAAAUCAACUAGAUAAACUUGUGAGUUUUCAGCUUUUAUAUCUUAAAUUGAACCUAAAAACUUUGAAGAAGCUAAAAAAGAGGAAAGUUGGAUAAUGGCCAUGUAAGAAGAAUUUGAUCAAUUCACAAGGAGUCAUGUAUGGUCAUUGGUACCUAGACCUUCAAAUCACCCUAUUGUUGGUACAAAAUGGGUGUUUAGAAAUAAGGUAGAUGAGCAAGAAAAUGUAGUUAGAAAUAAAGCUAGGUUGGUAACAAAUGGAUGCAACCAAGAAGAAGGAAUAGAUUAUGAUGAAACUUUUGCUCCGGUUGCUAGGAUUGAAGCUAUAAGGUUGUUGCUAGCUUUUACAUGUUUCAUGAAUUUUAAAUUGUUCCAAAUGGAUGUAAAAAGUGCAUUCUUAAAUGGAUUAAUUCAAGAGGAAGUAUAUGUAGAACAACCACCUGGUUUUGAAAACUUUGAAAAAUCUAAUCAUAUUUUCAAACUUCAUAAAGCCUUGUAUGAAUUGAAACAAGCUCCUAGAGCUUGGUAUGAAAGGCUUUCAAAAUUUCUAGUUGAGAAAGGGUAUGAUAGAGGCAGCAUCGAUACUACAUUGUUCAUUAAGAGAUAUCUAAAUAAUUUAAUUGUUGUGCAAAUAUAUGUGGAUGAUAUUGUAUUUGGUGCAACUAAUGAAGCUUUAUGGAAGAAGUUUGCAAAGGAAAUGCAGGGUGAAUUUGAAAUGAGCAUGAUAGGAGAGUUGAAGUACUUCCUUGGUCUUCAAAUCAAACAAAGUGAGGAAGAAAUCUUCAUCAACCAAGAAAGAUACACUCAUGAUAUGCUUAAGAAAUUUGAUAUGCUGAAGCUGAAAUCAAUUUCUACACCAAUGAGUCCAUCCACCAAACUCGACUUAGAUGAAAAAGGUAAGGAUGUAGAUCAAAGCUCUAUAAAAGGUAUGAUCGACUCUCUUCUCUACUUAACAACAAGUAGACCAGAUAUUCAGUUUAGUGUGUGCUUGUGUGCUAGAUUUCAGUCACAACCUAAAGAAUCACACCUAACUGCCAUUAAGAGAAUUUUUAGAUACCUCAUAGACACUCAAGAACUAGAAAUAUGGUACUCUAGAGACUCAACUCUUAACUUAGUUGGAUAUUCAGAUGCUGACUUUGCUGGUAGUAGAACUGAUAGGAAGAGCACUAGUGGAACAUGCCAAUUUUUAAGAAGGAUGCUUGUGUCUUGGUCCAGCAAAAAGCAAAACUUAGUGGCACUGUCUACAGCAGAGGCUGAAUAUGUAUCAUUAGGAAGCUGCUGUGCACAAAUCCUUUGGAUCAAGCAACAAUUAAAAUACUAUGGAAUAACAAUGCAUAAUGUACCAAUUUACUGUGAUAACACAAGUGCAAUCAAUAUAUCAAAAAAUCCUAUGCAGCACUCUAGGACAAAACACAUUGAGAUUAGACACCAUUUUAUUAGAGACCAUGUGAUGAAAAAUGAUAUUAAGAUAGAAUUUGUGAAUACUUUACAUCAAUUAGCAGACAUUUUUACCAAACCUUUGAGUGAAGAUAAAUUUUGUGAGAUUAGAAGAAAUUUAGGGAUGAUUAGUGUGAAGGAAUUAUAAGAAAACCUUAAGCUCUCACAUAGAAAACAAACUGUUUUCAAUCAACUAAGGAUUUCUCAAUCAACUAAGAGUAGUCUAACAGCCUUAAAUAAUAAGACUUAGUGAGUUUUAGAGAAAGAAGAGUAAAAUAUGGGUUGACCGGGUCCAAAAGGAAUAAAGGAAAAACUGUCAAAGGUAAAUAACCAAAUUUUUAGAGGGAAGUUUGAAAUUAUAAAGAAAUGAAAUAGGGCAGCACUUAAAAGGAAGGUGAAGAGUUUUUUUUAUAAUAACUGUUGACUGCCUCUCUUUCUCUCUCCCUUGAAACCCGUUGCUCUAAAAACAAAAACUAAAUCUCCCUGUUUGCCUCUGAAACUGACUCAAACCCUCAGAAAUUUUUGCAACUAACAUGGUUAGAACAUCUCAGAGCAAAGAGAUAUCAGAAAAGAAGAAAGGGAAAAGGCUAAUGGAGGAAGAAUCAGAAACUAAAAAUGUGAAAAAGAAACUGAAAAUCAUGGCUAGUUCAAUAAAAGAUAUAUCCGAGAAACUUAGAGAAAAGAAGAAAAAACUGGCAAGAAAAAGGAAAUAAAGCCCUCACUCCACAAAGGUACCAGAUAUUCCUCUUCAAAAUUUAGGAAUAAGUUGCAUGAGUAUAGAUUCAAGAAUAUCAAGAAUGCACCAAUCUCUUGUGAAAAAUUCAUUGACUGGAAUAGUUUUAACAAAAAUGUAGAAAUCCAAACUAAUCUAUUUGAGUACUUUGAUGAACUAAAACUAAAAGGCUACAGCAUAUUUAAGAAUAGGUUUUCAGUCCAGGUUUGGUCAAAGAGUUUUAUUUUGGAAUUGCUUUGAAAGGAAAGGAAUUAAUAGAUUCUGAUGAUUAUGUAGAAGAUGGUUUGAAUGUUUAUCUAAAUGGAAAAGAGUUUGUUAUGAUUACUGAGGAUUUAAGGAACCUGUUGAAAAUGGAAGAUAAAAUCACUGAGUUGGAAAACAAGUUGAAGGAGAAGGAAAACAUGCCAUCUGAACCUGUGGCUGCAGAUAGCUCUGCCACAUUCAGCACUGCACCUACAUAAUAAGGUGCUGAAAAUUCAACUAAGUCAGUAGAAAAAUCUGCUCCUCAUGUUGGAAGUUCUAGCAUUUAGGCUGAAAGUUCCAUUUAUAAAUCUGUCUGUCCUACUCUACAAACUAAAGACUCUCCCAAAGGGGUUGAUCAACCAGCCAAGACAACUUCCCCUGAACCUCAAAGCAAAAAUGAUACAGAGACAAAGAAACACCAGGCCUCUCCUCCAAACUCAAAGGAAGUUUCCAUCAUGGAUAUCUUCCACCAAAUGGUUAAAGAGGGAGAAGCUGAGAAGGACACUGCUAGGACAAAAACUCAAAAAGAUGGUGAAGGUGUAGGAAAAGGAAAGAAAUCUGCAUCAGUUGCCAGAGUAAAGACAAAAGUAGGGAAAGCCAAAGCCACUGCAGCACCACCAACUAAGGCAAAACGACCAACCAAAGGCAAGAAGACUAUGGCAACCAAGACAGUUUUUCUCAAAAGAAGAAAGUCUUCUAAGUUGGCAGAGAAAUCCAGACCAAUUUCAGCCUCCUCUCCAAUCCCUGUCUCAGAUAAGUCCUUACUAGAACCUUCUCCAAAACAUUCAUUACCUCUCCGAGAGCUCUCUCAUUUUCCUAUUAACCCUUUCUACAACACUAAGUCCUCACCCUCUAACUCAUCAGAUGAAUAAAAGCCCAUCCCUUUUAUGCUGACAAAAAGGGGAGUAGAAUAGAAUGGGUACAGCAACUAGGAACCAAAGAAUAAAAAAAAAAUGUUAGGGUAGAGGAACCAGGAAGGAACCUAGGAAAGAAAAAAAAAAAAGACAGAAUCAAAGAUGUAUGAACUUAGAAAAAUAGGAGAUAUGAAGCAAAAAUAGUCCAAGGGCAGUUUCGAAACACUUGUUGGUUAACUAUUAUUUGUGCCAUGGUGGCACUUAAACACUCAGUUUUAAUUCUAUUAUUUAUAUGGUUGUAUGUGAAAAAUGAAUGCUGAUAUAACUAUGUUGCUUAAUUGCUAAAAAUUGAAGUCUGCUGAUAUUUUGGUAUUUUGAUUGUCAUGAACAAAAUUUGCUAGUGCCAUGUUGAUAUUGAUGCACAUGUUGAUAAAUGAUUUUUGUUAUGGCAUUGUGGAUAAUUUCUGUUUGAAAAUAGAUAUAAAUGGUAUGGAUAAUAUAUCAAUUGAGACAUGAAUGAUGUGAACAAAAUCUGAAAUCAAUAAAAUGUUGACAGCUGUUGGAACAUUGAUGAAAAUCUGUCAACACUUAAAGCUGAAAGUUUAAUGAUAAUAUGCCAAUACUUACUUGCUACAAAUCACUCUAUGUUGUUGAACAUAUGUAUACUCUAAAUAUACAAUAUCAUUUUCUAUAUGAUGAGAAUAAAAUUGGCUAAAAUAAAAUAAGCAAAAUAUGCACAUUAAGGGGGAGCUUAUACUUAGGGGGAGCAAUCCUCAGUUUUGCAAAAAACUAAAUUAAAAUGACACUAUGCUAUUAAUCAAGGAGUGUUUUGUCAUCAUCAAAAAAGGGGAGAUUGUUGGCUCCAUUAGUUUUUGAUGAUAAUAAAACAUUCCCAUUUUUGUGUGUCUAAUACCUUUACUUGAGUGUGCAGGAAAGUAAUUUGUGAAAUUAAUUUAUUGACUCUUCAAAGAGUAUUUUUGAAAGAAAAAGAGGGAUAAAAUAAACAAGAUGUAACUAAAUAACAAGGAGGAAGCUUAUUGGUGAAACAAGGAAGAACAUUGGUUGACCAAAUUUCAAAUUGGAGAAAUGGUGAGCUAAAGAGUUUGAGAAACAAAAUCAAUUUAGUCAACCAAGUCAGUCGACUAAGUGCUCUCUGCCAAAAUCUACAAACCAGAAACAGAACCAACUUAGUUAACCAAGUUAUUUGACUAAGAGCUCUCUGUCUGCAAGUUGAACCAGAGCACUAUAAGAGAGAUUAAUGGCUAAAACUCAUCCUCAAUUGUUUCCAACGGAUAUAAACUGCUAAACUGCCAUCAGAGUUGCAUCUCCAAGUAUAAAAGGGUCUUCCAACAAUAAAAAAGAAGUUUUUUGAAGCCUUGAAUGAGUUUUGAGCUAUAGAAAGAAGAAAACUCAGAAAAGCUUCACUGCACUUAAACGCCUACUCUUUGCAUUUGUAUUUAGCACUUAAUCUUGUACCAAUCAGAUCAACAAGUGAACAUAGGUACUUUUUUUUACUACUUCUCUUGUAUUCUUAGAGUGAGGGAGUUAUUCUAAGGGGUUGUUCAAGCUUGGGAUAGCUUGAUUGUUAAAGGUUGUGGUUGAGCCUUGAAAAACCACAUAGGGUUUUAGUUGAGCCCGUGAAAAACUAGUGUAAAAGGUUUUUGGCUAAGCUUGGUAAAAGCCAUUGUAAAGCUUGGUGAAAGCUUGUAAAUUUCACCGGUCCAUAGUGGAUUUGUGGGAAAAUCCUUGGUUGGAUAAUCUAGGUAGUGGAUGUAGGUCUUGGACCGAACCACUAUAAAUUGUUGUGCAUUGUAUACUCUGUUUUUAUGUUCUUUGUUCUGGAAAUUUGUUUCCAAUCUUGUCAAGAGUCGAUUUGUGCUAUUCACCCCCCUCUAGCACAUAUUAUAGGGACCAACAAUCAUCAUUUGGUAUCGCAUUGCCGGUGAACAUGCACAUGCCCAUCUGUCAGGCUCUAUUCUCAUAAGGUCAGCAUGAGCUCCCGCGUGAAUCUGGUUUAGCUAGUUCAUAUGUCUGUUGAAAUCGAAAACCUUAUAGCAAUCUCGAGCAAGGGUGAAAAUCAUACAAACGUCGUUACACUUGAACUUGUUUUUUAAAUUUUUGAAGUGGUAACCGCAUAAACCUUGGUGCACUUCUGGGUAUACAUUUUGGAUUACUUUCUUAAUGCCGAGAUGCUGAUCAGAAAUGAACAUAGUGUUUUCAGGACAACCAACCGCAUCACGCAGCUUACUAAGAAACCACGUCCAUGAGUCUUCGUCCUCAACAUGGCCGACGCCAAAUGCAACUGGAUAUACGCACUCGUUCGCAUCUUUGCAUAUAGUGACAAACAAAACACUCUUGAACCUGCCUUUCAGAUGUAUCGCAUCAAUUGCAACCGUAGGACGCAUUACAUCCCUAAACCCCUAAAUACAAGCCCUAUAUGACCAGAAAUAAUAUUUGAAUCUUUUUGCCUCAUCAGUAGCCACUGCAGUCACUGUGCCAAGAUUUUCUUGUUCCAACAUAUAAAAAUACGAGGGUAGUAGUUGAAAUGACUCUUUCGGUGGGUCGAAAACAAGCCUCUUUGAAUACUCCUUCACUUGCCAAGCCUUACCAUACAAGCAUUCCAAUCCCCACUGAACCCUCAUCUCACAAAUUAUGUCCUUAGGUCUUAAUGCUGCUCCAUUAGCCCGAAGCUUCUGUGACAUAAGUUCACCAAUUAUCUUCGCACUCGUAGUACAGGUGUGUACUUUAUGGAACGUCCGAACUUAUCAAUAUUCUCCUCUGUCAGGUAACUUCGUUGCACGCACACUGAACUUGCAUGCCUUGUCCUUGCAACCAACUUCGUAACUACCUUUACAUGACCUUUUUAUUUUUAUUGCAAACUUCUCUUUUAUAACCAACAUGUUCAAAGCUCGUUUCAACUCGGCCUUCGACGAAAGCAUUUUUCCUUUGUAUAAGUGAUCAUCGACAUAUGUCGGCUCCUUAGUGGAAAUUGUUUGGAAGGAGAACCUUUCUGCACUUGAAAUUAGCCACGUACGAGAUAUCCUUGCAUUUCCCCUUUCCUGAUAACUGUCAUCGAGCAAUGUAUCAAGAGAACGAAAUCUCGUUCUCACUAGUGAUGGGGUUAUUGUAUAUGGGGUCAUCACACUGAACAUUUCCUACAUCAACACCUCCAACAGGUUCUGUUUCACCUUCAACAUGUCACAACCCAAAGUCCGGGCUAUGACCGACGUAUGGGCCUAAUGGGCAUAGCCCACUAAGCCCAAGCAAGCCUAUUUAUGCAAUCCCGAUCAUCAUUCCAAACCAUCAUUUCUCAAACCCAUAUUGUAAUUCUCAACUAAAAAUAUUUCAAUAACACUUUAUAGUAACCUAAUACUCACAAUUGUAGUAUGCUAACAUAGUAUCACUCAUUUGCCACCUUUCAGUGGCUUCAGUAAUCAAAUAUACAUAUUUGAUUUUUAACAUGAAUCUUAGUGGUCUUCAUUACUUAUACAUGUAUACAAGCAUAAAACUCUUGACCAUCAGCGGAGUGACUCUAGGUGAAGAUACAACUACUGAGAUGCUAUAGUACCUACCAAGAAGGCGAGCAUACAUGGACAACUCAAUCUAGGUCCCAACUGCCUCUAAAUCUGAAAACAUGAAGUUUAAAAACGCGAGUAUAAAACUCAAUGAGUGAACAUAAGAAGGGAACAAACAAUCGAUAGGAAGAAUUUGAAAAUCAUGAUGCACUUGUUUCAAAAACAAUGCAAUCGAUUUAAUUUUAUCACUAAAAACACCUCUUUUCAAACUUUGAUUAAUAACCUCAUAGUAUUGCAAAAACCCAUGAUCAAUCCAUGAAGUUAAAUGGGUGAAAAAUAUGUCCAAAAUCAAGCAAGGUAGCAAGCAUGGCAGCAAGUUUCUCGCUGCAACGAGAAACAAUGUCAGUUUGCAUGUGUUUCAGUUUUUCUAGAGUAUCUCCCAUUAUAGAAGUCCAAUUGACCUGAUUUUUAAACCAUUAGAAACCUAAGAUGCAGGGAUACAACUUUUAUGUUUACCACUUUUCCCAUUUCAGAUAGGAAGAUGGUCAAAAUCUUUAUCGAAGUGAAAGCAUUAUACUAGAACCUGAGAGUUUCUCGCUGCAGUAAAAAUGAAUCUCACUGCAGCGAGAAACACAACAUUUUUAUUGAAAUGAGUCUUAUUACAUCAAAAGCCAUUUUCUUGUCGACAUGAAAAGCAAUUUAGGAGCAAUUAACAAUGCCAACACAUAAGACAAUCACAAUUAUUUUCAUAAACUUUCUAUAACAUAUAUAUAUAUAUAUAUUUGCAUAUACAUACUUCAUCAUGCAUACCAUCUCGCCACACUUAGCUCAUGUGCAUCCCCCCACAUCGUGCACAUAGCUAGAGUCAUCAUGUGCAUCCCCCACAUCGUGCACAAGCAAUAUCAUCGUGUGCGUCCCCCCACAUCGGGCACAAGUAAUAUCAUCAUCCACACUCCCAUACCCCGUCAUCACUGACAUGUGCAUCCCCCCACAUCGUGCACACGCACGGUUAUAAUUAUCACACAAUAUCAACUAUCAAUGCACAACAUAUAUAUAUACCAACAUAAUGUAGUGGUACAUGAAUCCAUAACAACCACAUGUCACAACAUAGAGACAAUUUAUUAAGGGUUUGUUCCCAUGCAUAAUUUAAUGAAAAGCCAAGUAAAAUCAUUUAAAUGCUUCAUCCCAAAACAUAUGUAUUUCCCAAAAACACUUUGAUGCAAGUUCACUCAUCAAUAUUUGUUGAAUCUUUAAUUGACUCUAACUUUGAUUAUUGCUUCAAAUGGACAUGUGAGGCCUCAUUGGAACCUAUUGUCACACACAACAUCACAACCAACCCAAAUUGGCAUUAAUAUAAUUCCAAAAGCUCUUUCGUAAAUCAAGUUCCACUAGUUAUUCCUAACUAGCUUCCAAUUGCCAUUAAAUGGCUAUCUAUUCUUUCUACUCUAGUAACUCUAGAAAUAAAUAAACAAACCUCAAUAAUAAAACAACUCACAACUUCAAUUACUAGCCAUUAUCAAUAACCUAAAAUCAAUCCUCAUUUAUUACUCACCUUGGUGGAUUUGUAGUUGAAUUCCUUCUUAAGAAUACUCAAGCUAUCAUAAAGAGUCUCUCUUUUUCUCUCUCUUUAAAAUUUUUAACUAGUGAGAGAAAGUGUUGAACAAAGACUUUUUAAAGGUUUUAAGGUGAGAAAGUGAAAGAGAACAAAAGGUUCCAUGAAAAAGUGCUUAAAUGCAUGAAAAUUGAAGCUAGAGAGAGAAAGUUAUGGAAGCUUUAUGGGAGGCUCCCAUGGAGAUGAAGAAACGUGAGAUGGGAAGGAAGAAGAAAUGGCUGGAAACUACUGGAAAUUGCUGGAGCUUUAGAUAUUUAUAUCUAAAGUUUAUCCAUUUCUCACUUAAAUUACCAAAAUGCCCUUAACGUGGUGACUUUGUCUUCCUCUCAUCCUUUGUGCAACCUUUUACUCUUUUGACACUAGGGCAAGGUCCAUAAUAGUCUAUAAAUACUCGAGUUCACGAAAACAUAAAAAUUUAGACUCGAGAUGCAAAAUGACCAUUUUGCCUUUACACAAAAAUUAUCAUUAUUUUUAUCUUUUUCAUUUAUUGACCAUCAUAAACAUCAUUUAUUCAUUCCUUAGGCUUAUUUAGACCUUAAUAGCAUCAAAAAAAAAACACCUACUCGUAGGAGCUCAUCAAGAAAAAUUACAAAAUUACCCCUAGUCCGUAUUAUCGCGUCUACUUCUAGUUAUGUGUUUAUGGAGGUGAGAUUUCACAGGUUCACUUUUGAAUUACCCUUUUUAACUCGGUAAUUAACCUCAAUUGUCAUCCAUAAACUUUAUUAGCCACCGUAUCAAAAUACGGGAUACUACACAACGUUAUUGUAAAUUAGAAUAUCACUGUCAUAAAGCCAGUCAUUGUCUGAACUGUCAUCAUGCCAUUGUUCAAGCCCAUCAUCUGAAUUGUCAUCAAAUCUAUCUUCACUGGCAACGAACAAAUCCUCAUUUCCCUCAUCAAAUGUAGAAUUAUCUUCCAACGUCGCAGUGUCACCCUCCAACCUCACAUUGUUGUCCUUAGGUGUCGUAUUCUCAUUUGACAAUGGCAUUACACACUCUAUAGUUUCACCCGAUCGUUGCAUUUGUUAGACAGAAGCAAGUGAUUGGUUCGAUGCACAUCUUGAUCGAAAUUGUACAGCCAACUGUUCUGUGAAUGUCGUCUGUCUACCAGGCUGCACAAACUCUUGUGCAUACCUCAAUUGCCAUUGUUAUGGGUUACGGACCGAAUGUUGUGGUAUAUGUGAAGCAUUGAAAAUCUCAUUUUGAUUGAGCUGAUUACCAUGUUCUUCAACUUCUUCAUGUGACAUAACAUUUGUUUGGCGUCCCUUAAUGCUGACAUACACAGUCGGAACAUUCCUCUGUUCUAGCAGAAUUAAUGCAACAUCCUCAUCGUCCUUGAUAAUUGGCCGUGAUAGCUUUCCGAGUAUACUGAUCAAUGCAUGUAACUCAAUCUCAUCAAUUUUUUUGUUUACCCCAACAACAUCUUCAACCAGCUUCAUCAAGCCCGCAAAUGACAAAUCACUCAUAAUCCCCCGCAUUCGUGACUCACCACCCAUGUAGAUGCCAUCCACCCACUGACCAUCGUGUCUUAUCACAAGUUGCCCAAUUGGAACCCCACUAAAAUUUUGAAAGAAUAAAAAAUUUGUCAAUCAUUUUACACAAUGCAUGCUGUGUUCAAAAUUUGUUGUAAAAUGAGGUAACAUGCAAUGCAUAUAAUGUAAAAUGUGGUAACACGCCAUGCAUAUAACGUAAAAUAUGGUAACACGCCAUGCAUAUAACCAAUGUCGUGACACACUAAAAUAACGUUAACACAUGUUAUAGAUGCAUGGCGUGUAACAACUCUGGGCAAUGUUUCUAAUCCAUGUUCUAAUUUACACCAAAUGUUUCAAAAAUUUAAGUGCGUUGCAGCAAUAAACCCAAUAACAGGUACCUUGAUGUCAUCUCUGCUAUAGGGUCUGUUAAUCUACGACAAUUUAGCCAGAUGUCGAGAGAUAGACUACAGCCUGAUGAUGAUGGUGCUCAACAAAGAGUUGAUAGAGCUCAUACAGUCCAAAGAUCUGAGAGAGCUUACGACAAUGGUGCUCAACACAAAGUUGGCAGAGUUGAGAUAGUUUAGAGAGUUGAGAGAAAAAGAUGACCAAGCUCAAACAGUUGAGCAUUUAUUUGAAACGAUAUUUUUAAGGGCAUUUUGGUCUACUCAUGCUUCUUUUUGGCUAGAAACAGAUAACUUUAUAUGGGUGAUUUCUGAAAUCACUUUAUCACGAAGUCCUUUUUUCACAAUUUCCUUUUAAUAUACUUAUUAUAUAUUAAUUAAUAUUAUCAAAUGUAUAAUACUAUUUUGUUGUUUAUAUAAUAUAUGUUGUUUAUUAGUUAUUAAAUAAGUAUAUUAUUUGUUAAAUGUAAAUUACUUCAAUAUCAAUAUAUAGAAGUUAUAUAUUUAUAUUACCUAGUAUAUUAUUUAAUUUAAAUUUAUUGUCAAUUCUUUUUAAUUUAUAUUAACUAAUAUUAGUAUACAUCAAGUAUUAUUAUUUUUGUAUACCUUAUAUGGUUUUAUAUUAUAUCAUACUUAUCAAUUCAAUUAUUAAAAUUAUAAUAUGAAACUAAUCGUCAAGAAUGACGCACUUACUCCAAUUUAGAAUUAUCUUACAUAAAUAUAAUCAAUGUGAAGCAUAAUGUUAUAUUAUUUUAUUAUAUACAUAUUAAUGACACAAAUUAUAUGUUAUAAUAUUAUAUGUAUAUAUUUCAAAGUUUGUAUAACUAAUAACUAAUUGCAAACAAUAUGUUAUAAUAAUUACUAAUAAAGUUAUUAAAUGUAUUCAUAUGAAUAAAAUUUAUUAUAAGCUAACAUAUAAAAUAUAGGUGUAAUAAUUAUAACAUAGUAAUAUAUAUGUAAGAUACUUAAUAUCUCAUAUAUAUAUAUAUAUAAACUUAUAAAGUUAUAUAACUUAAAAUAGAUAAUAGUUAAUUUCAUAUUAAUACAGGUUUAUAUGUAGUUAGAUAUAUAUAUAUAUAUAAUUUGUAUACAUAUAAUAAACUAAUAUAUUUUAAAUAUAUUAUACUAAUUAUAAGUUUAUUAUAAAUAUCAGUUUGCUUAUAAUUUAUAUUAACUAAUAUUAGUAUGUUUCUAAACUAUUAUUAGUUUUUGUUUAAUUGAUUAUUAUAUCUUAUCAUGUAUUUUUAUAAAAUUAACAAAUUAAUUUUGUUCUUUUUAUAAAUUUUUUAAUGUUAUAAAAUUAAUGAAUUUUGAAUCAUUAAUUUAUAAUGUAUGAUUCAAUAAAGUUUUAAAAAAUCUAUAAAAAUAAUCAAAGGAAAACAUACUUAAACGUUUAAAUAUUAUAAACUUCAAUAUGUAUAUAUUUGCUUUUAUUAAUAUCUUUUUUUAUAAAAGAUUAAUAAAAUUUAUAAAAGGUAUAAAAUAUUUUUGGGAAAAAAUUAAAAAAAAAUCUGUUUCCAACAAAAUUUUCCAACGGAAUCUUCCGUUGGAAAAUUUCAGUUGGUAAUCACUUUUUCCAACAGAAAAUUUUGUUGGAAAAUUUAGCGGGCUUUAAAAUAUUUUGAGUCCUUUAACUUUCUGAUAGAUUUCCAACAGAUAGUUUUUUGUUGAAAAAUUCCAACGAAAAUCCGUUGGAAAAUCCGUCGGAAUAGGUGGUGGGUGGAAUUUUUUUGCGAGCCAAAAAAUUCUCCAACGGAUUUCCAACAAAAAAAUUUCGUUGAAAAAUUUCCAUUGGAAAUCCGUUAGAAAUUCGUCGGAAAAAUUAUAACAACUUUUUGUUCAAAUUUCGUUGGAAAUCCGUUGGAAAUUUCCAACAAAAUUUUUUCCGUUGGAAAAAAGCUGUUUUCUUGUGGUGGGUCAUCCACUACAUUUCUACAUCAACACAAUUAUAUAAACAGCAUCACUCCAUUAUAGAACUUCUCAACAUACUGUGUGGAUCGUUAUACAUACAUUCAUCACAUACACACUGUCACACAAUCAUGGAACUUCUUAACAUGAAGUGUGAUUUCUAUCUCAUAUCAUAGCAAUAUUCCCAUUUAUACAUCUCAUUUGUGGUUCAGCACACUUUCCGUGCCUAUAACUCUUUUGGUCCGUGCACCAUAUUAUCAACAUUAUUUCACACCCAUUUCUAGGGCUUAACAUAAUAUUCACAGUGAUCAAACAUGAAUAUAUCAAUACUUAUUACAUAAAUAAAUACCAUUUAAAUAGUGCACCCAAGCAUUUAGCUUAUUGGUUGAUGCAUGACCCCUUGCCUAAAAAGUAUGGUUCGAAUCUCCCUUCUCCUAAUUAUAAAAAAAAAUAAUAAUAAAAAAAGGUACUAUGUAAGUAGUAACAUUAAAAGACUUGACUCAAUACACUACGAAGUAUAGUGAUGUUGAAGGGCUAGAAGGAAAGCACUGUUACACCUACCAAGUAUGAGAUAAGGUACUUUUUCACAAGACACCUAACCAAGUGAGCUAUUGAUCUGUAAAACAAAAAUAAAGGAAAAUAGUUGGUGAGUCACAAAGACUCCAUGAGUGGAUACGAGGAAAGGGAUAAGCCAAGGGAAAGAGUUUUUUCAAUAAACCAUACUUUGUAAAAAAAACAUGAUAUUCACAAAUAUCCAUAUAAAUCUUUUCAAAUGUCAAUAAUCUAAUUUCAACAUUUUUCCAUAAACACAUUGAAAUUCAUUAUGCAUAAAAGAAUUAAUAAGCAUUUGACCUCUACUUACAAAACAUUUUCAAGGAGAAAAACAAGAGAGUUCAUAUCAAUGAUGUCACGACCCAAAUUCUGGGCCAUGACCUACGCAUGGGCCCAGUGGACAUAGCCCACUAAGCCCAAGCAAGCCUAUUUACAUAAUCCCGUUCACUAUCCCAUCAAUUUUUCAUCACCAUUACUAGACCACCAUUUGUAAUUUGCAACUAGACGUAUUUUCAUAAUACAACAUAGAUAUCAAAAUUUACUUUUGUAUGAUCUCAAAUAAGGUUAUUCAUAGCCAUCUCAUAAUGGCACCAUCAUUCCAAACUAUACAAGCAUCGUUAGCAAAGUGAUUCCUAGCAAUUUACAUUUAAUGUAUAUGUACUCAUAUAAAAGACUUCUGACGACCAGCAGAGUGACUUUGGUGAAGGUACGGCUAUCGAAUGCCAUGAUACCUACCAAUAGUGAAUGUAAGUGGACGCCUUAGUCUCGGUCCCAACUAUCUACAAAUCUGAAAACAUGAAAUUUAAAAGAGUGAGUAUAAACUCAGUGAGUGAACAUAAGAAGGGAACAAGCAAUGACAAGGAAUGUUUUAGAAAACAUGAUGCACUUACAAUAAACCAUGCAAUUUAGUCUAAUUUUUUAGUUAAAACCCCUCAUUUCAAACUUUGAAUGUUUAAUCCCUUAAUGUUACAAGAUCCAUGAUGAACCAUAAAGUUGAAUAGAAUGAAAAUUUCAGUAAUGACCAAGCAAGACAAACAAAUAGAGGGUUUUCUCGCUGUAGCAAAAAGGCAUUCUUUGUUUGCAUAUGCUUCGGUUUUUCAAGUAUAUCUCCCACUACAGAAGUCAAAUUGACAUGAUUUUAUGGUCAUUAGAAAGCUAAGAGGCUAGGCUACAACUUUGAUGUUAACCAUUUUGCCUAGUUCUGAACGAAAGGUGGUCAAAAUCAUUUUCAAAGUGAAAGCUCUGUACCAAAAUUUCGGAACCACUCGAGAGUUUCUCGCUGCAACGAGAAGCUUCAGGAAAUUUCUCGCUGCAGUGAGAACCAGGCCAAUGUAACCCCCCCCAACCCGAGAGUUUCUCGCUGCAGUGAGAAACAGAGCAAUUUAGUUAAAAGGGGUAUUGUUACAUCAAAAAGUCAUUUUCUUGCGAAAAUGAAAAGCAAUUUGGGAGCAAUUAACAAUGCCAACAUACAACACAAUCACAAUUAUUUUCAUGAACUUUCUAUAACAUAUAUACAUAUAUAUAUGUAUAUACAUACAUCAUCAUGCAUACCAUUUCACCACACUUAGCUCAUGUGCACUCCCUACACACACAAUGCAAUAUCAUCAUCAUGUGCACUCCCUACUCGCAAAUAGUCGGGUCAUCAUCAGCUCAAGUGCACUCCCACACAGCACAUAGCUGGGUCAUCAUUAUCACACAAAAGAAGCAUCCAAAGCAUAAUAUACAUAUCAAUAUAAUGUGAUAACGCAUGAACUAUUCAUAUUGCACAUUUCACAAGAUAGAAACAUUUCAUCAAGGGCUUGUUCCCCAAGUAUAUUUUUUAAAGCAAAAACAAAUUAAACUUUCAAAUGACUUAUUUAAACAUGUAGGCACUUCCCAAAACAUUUUGAAAUGCAUGUUUACUCACCGGUAUUUUUUAAAUCUUAGAUCGACUCUAACUUCUACUAAUGCUCCGAAUGGAGAUGUGGGGUCUCGUUGGAAUCUAUCACACACAAUGGCAUCACAAAUCAACUUAAUUAACAUAACCAUAAUUCUGAAAGCUAUCUCUUAAAUCAUGUUCUACCAGUUAUUCCUAACUAGCUUCCAAUUGCCAUUAAGCAGCUAUUUACUUUCACUAUUCUACUCACACUAAAGAUGAAUACAUAAUCCUCAACUACAAAACAUUUACAAAUCUAUCCACUAGCCAUUUUCAACAACUUAAAAAUCAACUAUAAUUCACUAACCUUGUUAGCUUUGCAAUUGAAUUCCUUUUCAAAAAUUUUCAAGCAUGAAAAUUUGGAGUUAACUUAAGAAAAGUUAUGGAGGUUUCAAAACAAGCUUCCAUAGAAGAUGAAAGAAAUGUGAGAUCGGAGGAAGAAGAAGAAAAAGAAGCUACUGGAAAAUGAUAUUUAUAGCUAAAGCUUAUCCAAACUCCACUUAAAUUACGAAAAUGCCCUUAACAAGUUGGAUUUGUCUUCCUCCAAUCCUUUGUGCAAUCUUUUUACUCUUUUGACACUCAGACAAAGUCCAUAAUAGUCUAGAAAUACUCGGGUUCAUGAAAACUUAAAAAUUUUGACUCGAGAUGAAAAAUGACCAUUUUGCCCCUACAUAAGAAAUCAUCAGUAUUUCUAUUUUCUUUGUCAUUUUAUCCUUAUUUUCAUCAUUCAUUUAUGCCUUAGGCCUUAAUAAUGUUUGAAAGCAUACUUCUAGGUGCUCACUAAAGAAAUGACGAAAUUAUCCCUAGUCCGUGAUAUCGUGUCUACUUCUAGCUACGAGUCUAUAAAGAUCAAGGUCUCACAAAUGAUACCAAUACUUUUGUUGUUGGUAGUUGAAUCAAUCCUUAUAUAACCCAUACUUUGGGCAUUACCUCCCACUUAGGGAUUAGGAAAGCACAACACGAGUUUUUCCACUUAAUAGUUCUAUAUCAACCUUUUGACACACGAACACAUAUUCAACAACUCAAUACAUCAUCAAUAUUAAGUGAACAUCUUAAAAAACUCAAUAUAGGCAUGAAUAUCACCACAAAGGAAUUGGCAUGUUCACCUUAAUAUCAUAAUUACAAAGUGUGUGGUAUGAUGCCCCACAUUUAGCCCUUGAUCACGUGUGGUAUGAAGCCCCACAUCUAGCUCAAGUAUUCGUGUGGUAUAACGCCCCACAUCUAGCCCUCUUACAGGUGUGGUAUUGAUAUCUUUAUCUUGAUUUUGAAAUGACAAAAUUGAUUUACUUGAAAGAGAUGAAAGAGUUUUCAAAGAUGAAGAAAAUCCCUAAAGAGUUUUGAAGUUGUUUUUAAAUUGAAAGAUAUUUUUAAAUCUUCAAACUCUAAAUUUUCAACUGCAAGAAUUGACCUUUAGAAAAUGAAGAAUCGAUUCUCAAUUAUAUAGAAAGCAAAAUCUCUUUUUCUAUUAUAAGAAAAAUCAAUUCUCAAACAAGUACCUGUCAGUUUUGGAGAAACAGAAUCCACCAGACAAAGCAAGAAUUGACACUAAGAAGUUAACAUGUCGAUUCUGGAAGCUUGAGAGAGAAAAAGUCAAAAACUUGGAGAAGAAGCAAGAGUUGAAAAAUAAAUAAGAUUGGAACGUAAAAUUUGAAGUUUGAAUUUUUGAAUUAGCACUAAACACACAUAAAGAAUCAACACUAAUAGCACAACAUGUUGAUUAUGGGAAAAGAUAAAAAAGUGUAAACUUGGAAUAUGUCAUGAAGAAUCAACACCAGAUGAAGAACAUGUCGAUUCCCAAGAAAAAUAAAAAAAUGUAAAUUUUCCAAAAUUAUGAAAAAUUGACACCAAAGGUACAACAUGUCGACUUUACAAGCACAAAAGACAAAAGUCCAAUUAGCACGAAAUGGAAAGAAAAGUUUUGAAUCCUACUCCAACGGUAAAAAAGGUCCAGGUUUAUAAAUACACAACCAAAGGACAUCAAAAGAGAAAGGAAGAUCGAGAAAGAAAAUUAGAAAAGAAGGAAAAAAUAGGGAAAACAAGAAAAGAAUAUUUUUUUAAAUGGCUAAAAAAGAAAAAUCCUUCCUUUAUUUUGAUAGUGAGUUGACCAUAUUCAAAAAGCAUACCUUUCCUCACUGUAGAAAGUUUUUGAGCUUAAAUACUCCUAUUUCCAACCCUUAUUCUUAAAAAGCUUUCACCUUUAGUGCUCCCAUUGCUUACCAGCCUUCUUUAGAGGCAUAAAGUUCAUACCAUUGUAAUCCAUUAUUGUUUUUGGUUAUACCUCUUAGAAAAAAGUAAAGGGGUUGUGCUUUAACCUUAAAAAGGUAGAGACUUUGUGAAAGGUUGUGCUUUAACCUUGAAAGGCAUUGACGUUGUGAGGUUGUGCUUGCUCCUCUUGAAAAGGUAGUGAUGUUGAGAGGUUGUGCUUGCUCUUUUUCAAAAGGCAGUGACAUUAUGAGGUUGUGCUUGCUCCUCUCGAAAAGGUAGUGCUUGUGAAAGGUUAUGCCUACUCAUUGAAAACAAGUUUAUAAUAGAUUCAAACUCCAUGUGGUAUCAAAGAAGAGGAUGUAGGCAUUGAAGGUCGAACCUCUAUAAAAAUCAUGGCUUUGUUGUUUUUACUUUUCUACACUUUCAUAUUUUCUUAGGCUCUAUUUUUUUAUUCUACUGCAUUGAAGUUUAUUUAUCUCUUUAAUUUGAGAAAAAGAGAAGGUUUUCUCUUGGUAACCAAUUCACCCCUCCUUUUGGUUAAUUUACUUUAAGCUUAUCUCAACUAACAAUUGGUAUUAGAGCAGGUUCUCAAGUUUUGCAAGUCUAACAACCUUUGAGAGAUCUUGAACAAAAGCUUAAAGUAACAACAACGGCAUCCUCGAGCUUCAUUAAUGAAAGAUAAUCUAUGAUGCGACCUCCAUUCAAACGCGAGAACUACCCAUUUUGGAGAAAGAGGUUUGAAAAGUUUAUACAAUCUAUUGAUUUGGAUCUUUAAGAUAUUAUUGUUGAUGGAACUCAUGUUUCUAGCAAAACUAUUGAUGGUGUCAAACGCGUUAAAACAAGAGCUGAAUGGGAUUACAAGGAUAAAAAGCUGAUUUUGUUGAAUCGCAAAGCUAUGACAACUAGCUUGUGUGUGCUCUUAGUGAGAAUCAAUUUAAUAGGGUAUCUACGUGCACUUCAACAAAAGAAAUUUGAGACACAUUAGAAAAUUGCUAUAAAGGCACAAGUCAAGUUAAAGAGUCAAAAAUUAGUAUUCUGAUUCUUGAUUAUGAACUCUUUAAAAUGAAAGAUGAGGAAUCCAUUAAAAUGAAGUUAGCGAGAUUCACCAAAAUUAUAAGAUGAUUGAAAGCUUUAUGGAGAGAAUUUCCUAAUGCUCCAUUAGUGAAGAAAAUUCUCCACUACCUACUAAAGUCUUGGAAACCGAAGGUCACUACCAUAAAAGAAGCAAAGAUCUUAAUGUGUUUAAGCUAGAUGAGCUUCUAAGUUCUUUACUCACUUAUGAGAUGACCUUUAGACAUAAGAAAGAAAGAGAUGAAGCAAUUAGAGAAGAAUAAAACAGAAAAGACUUUGCUCUCAAAGCUGUAAAACAUAGUGAUGAAAAGUUACUUGAAAGUGAUGUUAAAGAAGAUGAUUAUGAUAUGAUGUAGCUUUGUUGACAAGAAACUUUAACAGAUUCUUGAGAAAUAAGUAAAGAGAUAAAAAAAAACCUCUAUUAGAGGGAUAAACAAAGAAAGAACAUGAGAAAAGACAUACCAAAGGAUGGCCAUGGAAAAGAGCAUAUAAUUUGCUAUAAGAAUAAAAAAUCUAGUCAUAUCAUAUAUAAAUGUCCAAAUCUUGAAAAAAGCCAUCCAAAUAACUGCAAAAAGAAAGCCAUGGUAGCUACUUUGAGUGAUAAUGAUGAGUCAUAAAAUGAAGAAAGAAAAAAGAUAGACAAUUCCUACUAUAUGGCAGUUAAUGAUCUCAUGGAUGAAGAUCUUUUGGAAUCUAAUAUGCAAAUAGAUAACUCACAAUGUCUUGAUGUUGGAUGUUUAAGUCAUUCAAUAAUUAUUAAGGAAAAAGUUAUGGAUGUUAAAGGAAAAUGUAGUAAUUCUAUUUCUGAAAAUGGCCACCAUGGCAAAGUUCAAGUACUAGAAGAAGUCACGUCGAUAGACAUAACUCUACUCCCAACAAAGGAAAAUCAACAAUAGAUUUUCCAAAAUUUAACGGUGAAGAUUACCUUCAUUGGAAGAAUUAAAUAAAACUGUUUAUUUAAGGAAAUGAUCAUGAAGUCUAGAGGAUAAUUAAAGAUGGAUCAUGCAAGUUGAUCAGAGAAUUAAAUGAAUGGGAUGGAAGUCACUUAAACAAGCUGGAACUUGAUGCCAAAGCUGUCCAUAUUCUCUUUUUUACACCUGAAGGCAGUGAAUACGGCAAAGUCUCUUCAUGUAACAGUGUCAAAGAAAUAUGGGAAAGACUAGAAGAAUUAUAUGAAUAAAAAGAGCUAGACGAAAAUAAUAGUUCAACAAGAAAUAAUAAGUUAAGAAAGUUUUAACCCUCACAACAAGAUGAUGAAGCAAGCUUUUCAUUCUUAAAUUAGGAAGGGAAGGUAAGAUUCUUAUCCAAUGGAAUGUUUAAAUAUGCUUAUGAAGAAUUUGAGGAGGCUUUUAAAAUAUUAACUCAUAGUUAUGAGAAAAUGAAGUUAGAAAAUGAAGAAAAUACUUUAAAUCAUAAUGUUAAAAAUGAUUUUUUAAGAAAUGCAAAAUUUAAAUUAGAAAAGGAAAAUAAGAGAUUGAAAAUGGAUUUUAAAAUAUGUGAAAAGAAUCUUAAUGAUGUAAGAAAUGAGAAUGAAAAGUAAAGAAAUGCCUUUGAAAAUUACAAAAAGAAAAUUGAUUGGAUAAGUUUCAAAAGUAAAGCCUUGAUUAUUGAUCAUCUUUUAUUGUUGUAACUAACAAAAGGAUCCAAAGAAAAUUGGAUACCAAAAAUCAAGUGAAAACAUGUUUUGCAGGCAAAUCAAAGCUAGAAAGAAUAAAUUUCUGAAAGUUCAAGCUCUUAUUGCGAUCUAGUGAACUCUGAAUCAAAAACUACUAGUUUAUAAAACAUGAGUCUUAUUUGAUUGAUUUUAUGUUGCUUCAAAUAAAUUAGUUUUUUUAUUAUUCUUUUAUGUGAAAACUUGAUUGAAUGCUCGGAGAUGAUAUUAGUCACAUUUUCAUUUCAUGCAUAAACAUCACCUAAAGCUAGAGAAAAUUGCAAGUGGAAUUUAAUUUCUUUCUUGGAAAGCAUCAUAUAUCAGAUUGAAGUUAAAAUCCUCUAUUUUCUAAAAGGUUGUCAAAACUUCAGAGUUCAAAAGACGUCUCUUCAAAUUCUAGAGACACAACCGUUGCAAUCUUAAUCAAAAGUGACAGUUUUGGAAAUGGAAAGGUUGAAACUUUUCAACUCAAUACGUCCUUUUACAGAUUUAUGUAAGGAUUUCACUCAAACCCUUCAAAGCACAAAACACAUAGAAUCAAUCACUCAUCUUCAAAACCUUAGAGUUAAAUCAUAUUUUCUCACAAUGGCACCAAAAAUGCUACAAGAAAAUAUAGAAAAAAACCCUGGUUCAUUAUCCAAGAUGUUGAAAAGUAAAAAAAAUAACUCUCUAGACUGACACUUCUCAUCAGUAAUCAAAAUAAAAGCAUUUGAUGAAGUUUAUGUUUCGAAAAAGGUACGUCAUGGUCGAAUGUUUAUUUUGAUUCAUUUGAAGAAGAAUUUAAAUUGCCAUAAAUUGAGAACUUAAGAGAAAUGGGUUGGUAAUACUUUCUAAGUUUAAAGAAAGGAGUUUAUGAAAACCUUGUCAGAAAUUUCUACUCAAAUGGAAUAACAAUUUUUGUGAGAGAAAAAGACAAGAGUCCAAUUGAUCAUGAUGAUUCCUUUGUCAUUUCUCUUGUUGAUGGUAGUUACAACAUAACUCCUACACUGCUUCAAAGACAUUUAAAAUUGGAACUCAUAAAUGAGAAUUCACUAGUAAUUUUAGGAGAAGGAAAUGACAUUUUUGAAGAAAAGUUAACUGUUGAAUUUCUAGUUGGACCAAUCACCAUUGAGUCUUCCAACAACACUUUUAAAUUGAGUAUUCAUGAUAUAAUUCUACACUUUAUUGUUGUUCACAACAUCAGAACUCCAGGAGCUAAACAUGGAAUUGUGACAACUGAAGAGAUGUGGUUAUGCACCACAUUAAAAAAAGAACACCAAUUAAUCUUGCCCAAAUCAUAUUCAAAGACAUGAAAACAUUGAUUAGAGUAGCAAAAAAUAACCUAGGUUAUGGAAUGGCAAUCUCAAAGCUCAUUAUCAAGUUGACAAUUGACACUUAUGAUGAUAUAACCAAAAGGUAGAAGAAAAGUAAAAUUUUGAGCAAGAAUACUCUUGGGAAAAUGGAAUAUGAGUACAACAUUGAUUUAAACAGUUGGGUUCAAAAGAAAACAGAAUAAAGCUCUAACUCUAACCAACCAAUCGAACCAUAAUCGUGUUAACUUACAUUGCAUUUACAUCACAUUGCAUGUGAAACAUUUUGUUAACAAACUUGGUUAAGUACAUAUGUUUAUUAUUUGUUUUAAUGCUUUAUACUCAUUUUAGAAUUUACUAAAAUAACUCUUUUGAUUAUUCACUUCUGCAACAAUAUUUUUUUAUAUGCAUACUUGUGCUACUAAUGCUUCAUUUUUCCUUAUGGCUUUUAUUGUGAUACUUUAUUUCCAAUUCAUUUUUCAUAUAACAAAAAGGGAGAGAAUAUUUUGAGUAAAUUUGCUAUGCUUAUUGGUUUUUCACUACUAGAUUUUCUUUAUAAUGUUUACAAUUCUUUUUAUGUAAUCACAAUUUCAGAUGGAGAGUUCUUCAAACUUUUAAUGCACAAAUUUAGAGGGAGUUUUUCAAAUGAGCAAAUUUAAUUCUUAAUUCUGUCAAAUCAAAAAGAGGGAGAUUGUUAUCUUUAUUCUAAUUUUGAAAUGACAAAAUUGAUUUACUUGAAGGAGAUCAAAAAAGUUUUCAAAGGUGAAGAAAAUCCUCAAAGAGUUUUGAAGUUGUUUUUAAAUUGAAAGAUUUAAAUCUUCAAACUCUAAAUUUCGACUUGUAAGAAUUGACCUUUAAAAAGUGAAGAAUCGAUUCUCAGCUGUAUAGAAAACAAAAUCUCUUUUUCUAUUAUAGGAAAAAUCGAUUCUCAAAAAAGUACAUGUCGAUUUUGAAGAAAUAGAAGCCACUAGCCAAAGUGAGAAUCAACACCAAGAGUUAUUUGUAGUUUGUAUUUCUGUAUUGGCACCAAACACACUAUUAACUCUAGUAUAUGGACUUAUUUUGACACAUUUUGAGGACUUAAGUAGCUAGGUGUUUGAGAUUUUAAAUUCGAAUUUUAAUAUUUUAAGUGUUUUUCUUAGUUAAGUUUGAUUAUAUGUUGAUUAGUUUAAAUGAAGUUAUUUUAGUUUAAUUUUAUGUUAUUUUGUGUUAAAUUACUUUAAAAAUUUUUAUUUCUGAUUUCUUUUUUUGUUUUUGUAGGAAAUUUGAUGAGAAAGGUUCAUUUGAUGAAAAACCGCACACAUGUGGUGAAGGCUUUAUUUGUACAUGCUACAGUAUUUUGAGGGUAAAUUGAGCUAUAGAAGUCCAAUUGAUGUGAUUCUUGAUCCAUUGAAAAUCUAAGAGACAGGGGUACAACUUUCAUUUCAAUCACUUUGCCUAGUUUGGAUCAGAUUGAUGCAAAAAAUUGCAUUGAAAUAUGCUAGACUAUUGUAGUUCAGCACAAGGCAGUACAUGGAAUGAAGGCCGCGACCUUGAGUUGCUCAAGGGUGCAAUGCCAAGGAGGACAAGGCUGCAGUGCUGAGGAGAGUGUGGCUGCAGUGCUAGUUGAAUAUGCAUCCUCGUAGUGCCACUUGAGAGCACACAGGCGCAGCACUACAAGAAAGGCUACGGCACCAAUAAAGGUAGCACUGUGGCACCACACAGCUUUCCAAAAAUAAACUAUUUUGUUAGAUUUUGAUAAUUAAGGCUUUUGGAGGCUAUUUAGAGAAUUUUUUUUAAAGAGUUUCAAGAGAAUACAGCAAGAAAUAAGAAAACAAGAGAAUUUGAGAGAGAUUUGAGAUCACAAAGUUUCAAUAAUUAGUUUCUUUCUCUAUUUUUG
Molecule: long non-coding RNA, 25492 nt
Filed under: Theobroma cacao (cacao)
Lineage: Eukaryota; Viridiplantae; Streptophyta; Magnoliopsida; Malvales; Malvaceae
Description: long non-coding RNA (TCAC_LNC002477)
Source: RNAcentral